RNAcentral lists this unclassified non-coding RNA (986 nucleotides) under Monomorium pharaonis (pharaoh ant). RNAcentral's name for it is "putative nuclease HARBI1, transcript variant X1". The record is from RNAcentral. Lineage: Eukaryota; Metazoa; Arthropoda; Insecta; Hymenoptera; Formicidae.
UUUUAGAUAUUGGGAUCGUUAAGCUUCUUUGCAACAGGAUCCUAUCAAAGAAAAGUUGGCCAAAAUUUUCUUACUUGCAUGUCCCAAACUUCAUUAAGUCGUUCUCUUCAUGCAACUGUCAAUGCAUUGAAUAAUGUAAUGAACAACUGGAUUCGUUUUCCAGUAACUGCAGACAGAAUUGAAGAAAUCAAACAAGGAUUGUUUAGAAACGGUGGUUUUCCAGGAGUAAUCGGAGCAAUCGAUGGAACACAUGUUGCCAUUUUUCCACCCGAAGCUGAGAGAGAACAUUUAUUCAUUAAUAGAAAGUUAUAUCAUUCGCUAAAUGUGUUAAUGAUUUGUAAUUCUGAGUGCGAAAUUCUUGCCGUGAAUAGUGCCCAUGGUGGCCGAACACACGAUGCUCGUGUGUUACGGUCCUCAAGAAUAUUUGCUUAUUUAGAAAGGAGGCACAGAGAAGGUGAAACAAAUUCCUGGCUUCUAGGUGAUUCUGCGUACCCUCUUCUACCUUUUCUGCUAACGCCCAAAUUAAAUGAAGUAGAAGGAACUCCAGGUGCAAGAUACACAGAUCACCAUGUUCGAACUCGUUCAGCUAUAGAGCGCUGUUUUGGUAUUUUAAAAGGUCGUUGGCGUUGCUUACGAAAAGAACGAGCUGUACAUUAUAGUCCACAAUUUGCUGGUACCCAGAUAGCCAAACCUGAAAAACCAGAUUACGCGUAGAGUCUGCUAUAAAUUUCUGAUACCAAAAAGGCAACAGACUUCACACAGACUCUGUAAUAUCUGAUGGUGUCGACAAACUGCUGCUAGAGAUAUGACAAAAUCUAUUGACAUUCCAUGUCAACAAAUUGGCGGCAGAAAUGAAACAGAAUCUGCUGACAGAUCCUGGCGACAGACUGGCGCUCUCGUUGUCAAUGCAUGUUGCGUCCUGCACAAUAUGGCAAUUAGAUGGAGGGUUUCUAAUGAGGAAAUACAUUUAGAUGAACUAGAUGUUA